UGUUGAUGAACUAGGCUGAAUGGUGACGCAAAGAUGAUUCGUGGCUUUUCAGCUGUGUGAAAUGUCCCUUCAAGGUAAAUCAAGAAUCUUUCGGCCCAGCACAGUGGCUCACACCUGUAAUCCCAGCACUUUUGGAGGUUUAUGUGAAGUCUUUCUACUUUUUUCAUAGACAAGGUGUCACUCUGUCACUCAGGCUGGAAUGCAGCGGCACAAUCUCUGCUCACUGCAACCUCCACCUCCCAAGCUCAAGUGAGCCUAGUACCUCAGCCUCCUGAGUAGUUAGAACUGCAGGCAUGUACCACCAUAUUUGGCUAAUUUUUGUAUUUUUUGUUUAGACAAAAGUUUCACCAUGUUGCCCCGGCUGGUCUCAAACUCCUGGACUCAAGUGGUCUGCUCACCUCAGCCUCCCAAACUGCUGGGUUUAUAGGUGUGAACCACCAUGCAUUGCUUAAACUAUUUUUUUGUGAGGAUUUUUAGUUUUAUUUACUUAAAAUGUUUCAAUAUUACUGAGAAUAUUAGAUGAAAAUAUUAGAAUAAAUAAAUACUUAGAAUAUUUGAUGAAAAGGUCAUAUUGAUAGUGCUGGAGAUUUUGUUGGUUGUCACAGUAUUUCUGGAAAGAUGUUUGGCAGAAUGUAACAAAAGUGAUACAAAAUGUUAGAGGUU
This 663-nucleotide long non-coding RNA is filed under the name Papio anubis (olive baboon). RNAcentral's name for it is "lncRNA (ENSPANG00000047879.1)". Lineage: Eukaryota; Metazoa; Chordata; Mammalia; Primates; Cercopithecidae. The record is from RNAcentral.